RNAcentral lists this ribosomal RNA (300 nucleotides) under Triticum aestivum (bread wheat). RNAcentral's name for it is "partial small subunit ribosomal RNA". Lineage: Eukaryota; Viridiplantae; Streptophyta; Magnoliopsida; Poales; Poaceae. The record is from RNAcentral.
AUGACCAUGAAGAAGCGUGAGUUUCGCAACUUACGCCAAGGAGGACGCACUGUUGGACAAUAUGCGGAUGACUUUAGCAAGCUAGCACGUUAUGCCCCAGAUGAUGUUGCUACAGAUGCAACUAAACAGGAGAAGUUUCUGGAAGGACUGAAUGAUGAGCUGAGCAUGCAGUUGAUGGUAGCAACCUUUAAUAACUACCAAGAGUUGGUAGAUAGAGCUCUCAUGAUUGAAGGGAAGCAGCAACAGAUUGACAACCGUAAGAGGAAGUAUGGACACGGGAAGUAUAAUUUUGGAGCUUAG